Molecule: non-coding RNA, 23 nt
Filed under: Arabidopsis thaliana (thale cress)
Lineage: Eukaryota; Viridiplantae; Streptophyta; Magnoliopsida; Brassicales; Brassicaceae
Source: RNAcentral
UGAGUAGUUACUGUUGUGUGUGU